This 372-nucleotide ribosomal RNA is filed under the name uncultured organism. RNAcentral describes it as "bacterial SSU rRNA". It matches the Rfam family "Bacterial small subunit ribosomal RNA", at positions 526 to 896 of the family's 1533-position model. The record is from RNAcentral.
CGGAGGUGGCAAGCGUUGUUCGGAAUUACUGGGCGUAAAGGGCGCGUAGGCGGCUAGGCAAGUCAGGUGUGAAAGCCCCGGGCUUAACCCGGGAAUUGCGUCUGAAACUGCUGUGCUUGAGUUCUGGAGGGGGUAGUGGAAUUCCCAGUGUAGCGGUGAAAUGCGUAGAUAUUGGGAGGAACACCUGCGGCGAAGGCGGCUACCUGGACAGAAACUGACGCUGAGGCGCGAAAGCUAGGGGAGCGAACGGGAUUAGAUACCCCGGUAGUCCUAGCUGUAAACGAUGGGCACUUGGUGUUGGGGGUAUUGAGUCCCCCAGUGCCGGAGUUAACACGUUAAGUGCCCCGCCUGGGGAGUACGGUCGCAAGACUG